GGGCCCACCGGGCGGGGCGAACCAGAUUCGUCACCUGGGUGCCGGGGGUUCAACUCCCCCUGGGUCCA
This 68-nucleotide transfer RNA is filed under the name bacterium. RNAcentral describes it as "tRNA-OTHER". The record is from RNAcentral.